AGUGAACGCUGGCGGCAGGCCUAACACAUGCAAGUCGAACGGCAGCACAAGAGAGCUUGCUCUCUGGGUGGCGAGUGGCGGACGGGUGAGGAAUGCAUCGGAAUCUGCCCAUUUGUGGGGGAUAACCUCGGGAAACCGGGACUAAUACCGCAUACGACCUACGGGUGAAAGCAGGGGAUCUUCGGACCUUGCGCAGAUGGAUGAGCCGAUGCCGGAUUAGCUAGUUGGAGGGGUAAAGGCCCACCAAGGCGACGAUCCGUAGCUGGUCUGAGAGGAUGAUCAGCCACACUGGGACUGAGACACGGCCCAGACGCCUACGGGAGGCAGCAGUGGGGAAUAUUGGACAAAGGGCGCAAGCCUGAUCCAGCCGUGCCGCGUGUGUGAAGAAGGCCUUCGGGUUGUAAAGCACUUUUGUUGGGAAAGAAAAGCAGCCGGUUAAUACCCGGUUGUCAUGACGGUACCCAAAGAAUAAGCACCGGCUAACUUCGUG
Molecule: ribosomal RNA, 490 nt
Filed under: uncultured bacterium
Lineage: Bacteria
Description: partial 16S ribosomal RNA
Rfam family: Bacterial small subunit ribosomal RNA
Source: RNAcentral